UGUCUUGCUACGAUGGACAGCCACAA
Molecule: unclassified non-coding RNA, 26 nt
Filed under: Mus musculus (house mouse)
Lineage: Eukaryota; Metazoa; Chordata; Mammalia; Rodentia; Muridae
Description: oocyte_clustered_small_RNA9301
Source: RNAcentral